This is a long non-coding RNA of Brassica napus (rape), 1818 nucleotides long. RefSeq lists it as uncharacterized. The record is from RefSeq and is a predicted model, not a curated record. Lineage: Eukaryota; Viridiplantae; Streptophyta; Magnoliopsida; Brassicales; Brassicaceae. The transcript is spliced from 3 exons.
AGUUAGAUGCCGGACGAUGUAACUAUCUUAUCUAUUUCAAAAUCACGAAUUCAUUUUUUCGUUCUUUUCAGAAAUUGAUUGAAAGCUUUUGGGGGAAAAAAUAAGAUAGAAGAAAAUACUAACUGGGCCUUAAAAUGGCAGAAAGCCCAAGCUUAUGAAAAAAGUCAACUAGUUCAAACCGAUAUGGUUCGUUGUUCUUGAUUCCUGGGACUCCUCUUGCUCCUUGGGAUAUUCGUUUUCUCUCUGUUAUCCGCACGAAAGUGUGCCGAUCAAUCUCUUCACCAUCUGAUGAUCUCUAUAAUUUUUUUACUCUGUCUCGAAACGACCAGGUUGCAUCAGAAGCUAAUGUGGGCACGCGCAGAUCAAUCCCUGAAGCUAUCAUAUCUGGAUCCUAUUAACAAGGGUGUGUGAAGAUCUCGUAAAAAGCACUUUGACUAUCUGUAACUAAAACCAGGUGGAAAAUGGCUUUCAUGUUUUCGUGGAGGACUGUAAAUUGUAAAUUAAAAGCAUGGUUUGCGUGAGAGGUUGCGAUUUUCUGGAGAAAGUUAUUGUAACGCACAAGAAAAAGGGGUGGAAACAACUUGGUGGGUUUCCUAUGUACGUCUUAGUGCAUUGAUGAUGAUGAAACCAUAUCAGUCCCAUUUGCAAAAAAAAAUAAAUAUAUUUUUGAUUUUUGUUAUUUAAUCUUUAAAAAUUGAGCAGCUAAUAUUAUAAAUAUCAUCUUCUUAAAGAUUUUCUAAACUUGAUUCCAGAUUUUGUUUCAGCUACUAUGCAAAAUUCUAUGAUGGUCAAAAGUAUAACUAUAAUGCACGGAUUAAGACCCCGAUUAAUACUGGCAAACUGAUAGUUGAGCUAUUCCAUCUCUUCUUAGUACCGACUAGAAACUAUACUUUUUAUUUAUUUACAUAACUAUAAAUUUAUGAAACAAUAGAACACAUUAAAAAUACGAGGAAAAGUAAUAAAUAAUAAGAGUCAAAAGACAAGAAAAGAGAGGAUAUGCAACCUUGGCUUUCUAUUUUUCUUUAUAGAAAAGCAACAAAUAAUUGCAAUAAGGCAUAUAUAACUGUGUGAUGAAAAUUGAAAACAUCAUGAAUUUAAUAUACAAACUCCUUUUACGGAUCACUUGAUAUUUCAACUUUAUUUUGGUGCUUCUCAAAAGAGCUUUCGUCUAAAUUCUAUAAGAACCAAAAGAGAAAAAUAAAGGGUUCAAAAACAAUUCGACCAAAAAAGCUCAAAAAAAAUAAAAAUAAAAUAAUGGUUCGACUGGUUGGUACCUAUUUUUUUGAUAAAAAUAAUAAAAUUCAUUACCAAACUUUUAAGGUUUUUUUACAGAACAACAGAAGAACCAAAAACCAGAAAAACUGAAAAUAAUUUAAACAUAGACUCAGAUCUUGCUAAGAGAAUGAACCGACUACAAGUAAAACAACUAACUACCCGGUAAAAUCUGGCAUUUCCAAUAAACAGUCCUUAAAGAUCUAUGUUGUCAAGAACUGCUCACGUAGCCCUUCUAAUCUGCAACCUCCAUGAACAGACAACGAUACUCGUGACCAAGUGCACCCGCUCACACUGAAUUGAGCUUUGUUCGGAUAAGAAACCACCAAAAGCCGCCACAGAUCACUGAACCUACACCAAAAAGACAGAGAAAGCAAGCACCACAUUGAGUUAAAAUGGACAGGAGGCAGUUAUUGAGAAAACAGAUUAUUUAUUUAUUUAAAAAACUAAUUUUUGAGAAAAUUUAGAAAGAAAAGAUAUGACCCGUUUAUUUAUUUAUUUAUUUUUUAGGUAACAUGAUAAGGAUUUUCGUGUUUUACCAUUAAA